RNAcentral lists this ribosomal RNA (253 nucleotides) under uncultured bacterium. RNAcentral describes it as "partial 16S ribosomal RNA". It matches the Rfam family "Bacterial small subunit ribosomal RNA", at positions 524 to 776 of the family's 1533-position model. The record is from RNAcentral.
UACGGAGGGAGCUAGCGUUGUUCGGAAUUACUGGGCGUAAAGCGCACGUAGGCGGCUUUGUAAGUUAGAGGUGAAAGCCCGGGGCUUAACUCCGGAACUGCCUUUAAGACUGCAUCGCUUGAAUCCAGGAGAGGUGAGUGGAAUUCCGAGUGUAGAGGUGAAAUUCGUAGAUAUUGGGAGGAACACCAGUGGCGAAGGCGGCUCACUGGACCGGAACUGACGCUGAGGCGCGAAGGCGUGGGGAGCGAACGGG